RNAcentral lists this long non-coding RNA (2160 nucleotides) under Crocodylus porosus (Australian saltwater crocodile). Its description in RNAcentral is "lncRNA (ENSCPRG00005016883.1)". The record is from RNAcentral. Lineage: Eukaryota; Metazoa; Chordata; Crocodylia; Crocodylidae.
CCACUUAGUAAUGCAUUUAUUUAGUAAAUAUAUAAAAUAAACUAUGUACAAUAGAAGAUAUUAAGGAACUGCUAUAAUAUACAAUAAUUACAUGUUUAUAAGAGGGUAAGCAAAAGCAUACAGAAUUACGUGCUUGAAAUAAAAAAAACUAACACUGUUAACAUGAGGUUUUUUUUAAUAUGCAAAACCUGAUUGCUAGAAAAAAAGAUAUUUUCCUGAUUUAAAGUUUAUUGCUCUGCUUUGAGUUUUGAAACACUCUGAAUCUUCACUGAGAACAGAUAUGUUACCUUAAUGUUGAACGUAACACCCUAAGGCUAAUCCUCUGUUAUUUUACCAGCCCCAGAAACCUAGCUGCAUUGCAUAUAGGAUGCCUUUAAAAAAUGUUAGCAGAUACUGUACAACUAUUCAGUUAUUUGUAAAAAGUAAAGCAUACCCUGGAUUUCUUAACUUGCUAUCUCCUAAGAAAAUGACUUACAGUAUGCUAGAUUCUGCUUUGCAAUCAUAGCAUUAUGUUUACUUCAUGAACAAAUGUAACUACCAUAAAUUAUUUCACCAUUGCUAGAAUAUAAAGGGGAAACAGGGAAAGAAAACUCUUUUGUGCAUUGUGAUCAAAGGAAGGAGAGAACCUCAGGUUUCAGUGAAAUGUUUGUACUUAGCAAGUGCUCCAGUAACAAAAUAGAUGAAACUGGGUUCUGUGCCCCUUAUACUCAGAGAGCCCUUAAGUGCUGUCAUCCUCUCACUCUUACCUCCUCUUACGUAUCCUCAGUGUCCUCAAGGUGGCCCUCUGUCAUCCCUAUUAUCAUGGCGUACCCUAACUAAGGCAAGUCAAAAUUUUCACUAUGGUCCCUUCAUGUUUGUCUUCAACUGCAGCGCUGCUGAGAGGAGCAGUUUCAAAAAGUUUGCAAGCAUCAUCAUCACAAGAGAGUUUUGCCUUUGAUUUAAUAGGUGUAGAGUCAAGCCCUGUAUCUAGGCUGUUGCUUAUUUUGGGCCUACUGCUACAGGCCUUACUCCAAAUCCCACUGGUUCCAUGGGAUUGGUCCCAUAACCUUCCCUUCAUGGCAGAGGGUUUCCGUUGCCCCGUGCAAGCUGGAGCACAGGGCGGGACUUCCAAAAAGGAGAGUGCUAGCUAUUCCAAGUAAUGGCAGGGCAAAGGCGAUUCUGUUGUUCUCUUGCCGUUACUUCCCUGGGGUGAUAGGGUGCAGUAACAUUAUUUAUUCAAACGGUAUUUAGAAAUUUCAACUCUGGAAGUUGCUUUUGUCUGGGAUUUACAUUCUGAGACUAGAAACACGGAUGUGCUAGUACUGAAAUGUUAUGCCUGGGAGUGGCGUUAUCAGAAAUGAAAUCCAUAACAAGACAGUUACAUGGGCAUUUCCAGGGUACCUGUAGGCAGAUGCAAGUAAUAAGACACCCUUAAAGUUCAUCUCUCAAUGUCUGUAUCGUAACAGCAUCGUACUGUGAUGUGCAAAACAACAGGCUCCCUGGAGAAGCUGCAGUGAAAAGGCACGCUUUAUUCAACAGCAGAGAAUGCUUAUUGUCAGCUUUCAUUCCCUUAAGAUUUAGGUUUCCUGUUUCAGUACUACAUGCUGCAGCACAUCAUUCUGCAAAUUGCAUGAAAGAAAGUUCCUGAGUAUCAGACCCACACUAUACCUUAAAUGGUGCAUGUAGAAUAAUGAGCAUGGGAGGAAAAAACCCCCCAACAACCCCUUGAAACAGUGACUAGCAGAGAGACGACUACCAUUAAGACAUGCUUGAAACUCCAUUCGAGUUAAUUACUUUCCAUGAGAGCAUUUUUAGAAAGCUAUUUCAUAUAAGGCAAUUGGAUCAUUGUAAAGCACUUAAAAUCAACGUGAGCUUUGGCAUUGUCUGUUUUUGUCUUCAUUAGCUGGGGGAGGUGUGGAAAUCAACCUGGCCUAUACAGUAAGCGGACAACUGCAUUUACAAAUGCAACCCUUUAACGUUCUGAGUUUGCUUCCACGCUGAUACCUCCCGUCUAUUACGAUAUUCUUUGGUAACACAAUUUCUUUGUUUUCAUGUUUUUCACUAAUAUUGCUUCCCCUCUCCCAGCUUUUGAAAAGAUGGCUCAGCCUGUACAUUUCCAUGAAUACAGUUAUCUGCAUUUUUUUUAAUAAAAAGAACAUUCCUUAAGUCUGGAGGUAAAUG